This 222-nucleotide ribosomal RNA is filed under the name uncultured bacterium. RNAcentral describes it as "partial 16S ribosomal RNA". It matches the Rfam family "Bacterial small subunit ribosomal RNA", at positions 112 to 334 of the family's 1533-position model. The record is from RNAcentral.
CGGACGUGGGUAACCUGCCUCAUACAGGGGGAUAACAGUUAGAAAUGACUGCUAAUACCGCAUAAGCGCACAGCAUCGCAUGAUGCCGUGUGAAAAACUCCGGUGGUAUGAGAUGGACCUGCGUCUGAUUAGCUAGUUGGUGAGGUAACGGCCCACCAAGGCGACGAUCAGUAGCCGACCUGAGAGGGUGACCGGCCACAUUGGGACUGAGACACGGCCCAA